UCCAAAAUUUUAAAUAGCGCGCUAUAGCGUCGUUAUACACGUCCAAGCACACGCCGCGCUACGCGAAGCCUGAUUUUAGCUACAACGGAUUAGCGUGCUAAUAGCGCGCUAGAGGCCAUUUAGCGCUGAGAUUGGGCCUCUAGCGUAGCGUCCCGCGUCUUUGGCCUGAAAAUUUUGGCCCAAAAUUGAAUUCCUACGCGGGCCAAAGCCCAUGCCUACCAACUAGAAUACCCCAAAUCCUCCUCUCCAGCCAAACCCUAUCCUCACUCCCGUCAUAUUCUCUCACCCAGGAACAGCGGCGGCGGCCGACCAACGGCAACCAUGGCGACGGCCUCGAGCUGUGACUCCGGCGACUGACCUUCCUCGCCACUCCCUCCUACCGACGAGCUAUUCCACCAGCCAAGGCCACCGGAGCUCCCUGCGCUGACGACCGCAUCCACAGGCCACCGGAGCUCCCCGCGCGACGGUGCUCCCCGCGGCGACCGUGAGCGAGCAAAUCCCGUUAGCAGGUGUUGGUGGCUCAAGCACAGCCUCAGUAACAGCACCUCCACUCUCUCAAGUUGUUGACUCGAAUGAUCCUGCGUGGAAGUAUUGCACUCUUCCAGAUGUCAACAAAAAGCAUUGGCAGAAAUGCAACUAUUGUGGCAAGAUAUGCACAGCUGGCAUUACAAGGGUAAAGUUUCACCUUUCACAAAUAACAAAUUGUGGUGUCACACCAUGCGAGAAGGUUCCUAGUGAUGUCAGGCUGGAGAUGAUAGGUUUGCUCCUAAAGAGUGCUGAGCUGAAGGAAAAAAAAGAUUGAGGGAUUAGAGGCGGUCAGAUCUAGUGUAGACAUAGAUCACUCCGAUGGAGAAAAUGAAAGUGAUGAAGACAAUGACAAUCAGGUUGUGGUGUUGAGGCCAAAAUCAGGAACAAGCAGCUCAAUGGGUGGCCCUAUGGACAAAUUUUGCAAGCCUAGUGUAGAAGAAAUUGUCAAGAGGAAGCAAAAAAGAAAUUGUGCACCUGAAAAGGUUCAAUCAAAGGUGUCAACUCAGGAAAGACAAAAGAGGAGGGAUAGGGCUUGUGGAUAUAUAUGUCAAUUUUUCUAUGAAGCUAGCAUCCCACAUAACACCAUACUUGUACAGGAAAGACAAAAGAACAAUAUAGCACCAUACGACAACAUUUGUGCUCAAGCUGUACGAGUACAGCAGAUCAUGGUGUACAGAGCAAUAGUAAAGCUUGAACUAUUACAGAA
Molecule: long non-coding RNA, 1234 nt
Organism: Hordeum vulgare subsp. vulgare (domesticated barley)
Lineage: Eukaryota; Viridiplantae; Streptophyta; Magnoliopsida; Poales; Poaceae
Exons: 3
Source: RefSeq, a predicted model, not a curated record